RNAcentral lists this ribosomal RNA (492 nucleotides) under uncultured bacterium. Its description in RNAcentral is "partial 16S ribosomal RNA". It matches the Rfam family "Bacterial small subunit ribosomal RNA", at positions 30 to 507 of the family's 1533-position model. The record is from RNAcentral.
AUUGAACGCUGGCGGCAGGCCUAACACAUGCAAGUCGAACGGUAACACGAAGCGGCUUGCUGCUUCGCUGUCGCGUGGCGGACGGGUGAGUGAUGUCCGGGAGGCUGCCUGAUUGCGGGGGGUAUCUCCUGGAAACGGUUACUAUAACACCGCAUACUCCCAAGAGCAAAGAGGGGGACCUCUGGGCCCCUUGCCCUCGUGUGUGCCCCGAUGUCGGAUUAGCUUGUUGGUGGGGUAAAGGCUCACCAAGGCGACGAUCCGUAGCUGGUCUGAGAGGAUGACCAGCCACACUGGAACUGAGACACGGUCCAGACUCCUACGGGAGGCAGCAGUGGGGAAUAUUGGACAAUGGGCGCAAGCCUGAUGCAGCCAUGCCGCGUGUAUGAAGAGGGCCUUCGGGUUGUAAAGUCCUUUCAGUGGGGAGGAAGGGAGUAAAGUUAAUACCUUGCCGCAUUGACGUUACCCGCAGAAGAAGCACCGGCUAACUCCGUG